Molecule: transfer RNA, 73 nt
Filed under: Paramuricea clavata
Lineage: Eukaryota; Metazoa; Cnidaria; Anthozoa; Malacalcyonacea; Plexauridae
Rfam family: tRNA
About the family: Transfer RNA (tRNA) molecules are approximately 80 nucleotides in length. Their secondary structure includes four short double-helical elements and three loops (D, anti-codon, and T loops).
Source: Rfam by way of RNAcentral
GACCGCGUAGCUCAGUUGGCAGAGUAUUGGGCUAGUAUUCCAAAGGUCGUAGGUUCGAUUCCCACCGUGGCCA